RNAcentral lists this ribosomal RNA (433 nucleotides) under uncultured bacterium. RNAcentral's name for it is "partial 16S ribosomal RNA". It matches the Rfam family "Bacterial small subunit ribosomal RNA", at positions 29 to 507 of the family's 1533-position model. The record is from RNAcentral.
AACGAACGCUGGCGGCAUGCCUAACACAUGCAAGUCGAACGAGACCUUCGGGUCUAGUGGCGCACGGGUGCGUAACGCGUGGGAACCUGCCCUUAGGUUCGGAAUAACUCCCCGAAAGGGGUGCUAAUACCGGAUAAUGUCUUCGGACCAAAGAUUUAUCGCCUUUGGAUGGGCCCGCGUUGGAUUCGCUGGUUGGUAGGGUAAAAGCCUGCCAAGGCGUCGAUCCUUAGCUGGUCUGAGAGGAUGAUCAGCCACACUGGGACUGAGACACGGCCCAGAAUCGUACGGGACGGAGCAGUGGGGAAUAUUAGGCGAUGGGCGAAAGCCUGAUACAGCAGUGCCGCGGGAGUGAUGAAGGCCGUAGGAUUGUAAAGCUCUUUUACCCGGGAUGAUAAUGACAGUACCGGGAGAAUAAGCUCCGGCUAACUACGUG